This 890-nucleotide long non-coding RNA is filed under the name Capsella rubella. Its description in RNAcentral is "long non-coding RNA (CRUB_LNC003150)". The record is from RNAcentral. Lineage: Eukaryota; Viridiplantae; Streptophyta; Magnoliopsida; Brassicales; Brassicaceae.
UAGGUUGGACAUGUAGGAAAAAAAAAAGGAUAGGUACAUGAGUGUCUUCGCCAGUGGGUUUGGAAUCUGUAUCAUAUAUAACUUGGGGCAGGGGGGAGGAAAUGGGGGGAGGGGACUGAGAUAAUGGACGCCGGGGGCAGUGUCAAAUAUUGGCUUCUGCAAAAACUCAUCGUUGAUAUGCUGCUCGGAGGUAGGAGUUGAGACAUACUGAGGACAUAAUACUGAGUAUUAGCAUGAUGGAAGAAAUAUGGGAGGUUGAGAUAACUAAAUUAAAAAAUAAAAAAAUAGGUAUGGAAAAAACCUUUGUUGGGGAGACCCUUGCAUCAUCACCGACAGUUUGGACGUUUUGCUGCUUAUCUCCUUGGUCAGGUAGUUUUGUUUCAUCCUCAUCUACAGUGCCUGUAUAAAUCUCAGAAGGUAAGAUGUUCAAAGGUGCUGCCUCUCCAGAUCCCGUCUGGUCAGUGCUGUCAUGGAUAUAUGAAUUGUGGUCAGUGUUGUGGUGGACAGUUUUCUCUUCAGCUAAGUCGUCCUGAAAUCAGCGUAGUAAUGAUUGGUCCCAAAAAUCUGUAAAACAUACUAAAAAGGAGCCAAAUUUGAAUUUGAACUCACCUGUUCACUAAUGACCAUAUGUGCGAGUGGUCGGUGGGUGUCUUCUUUGUCCAUUUGGUGACUCCCAACCUCCAGAAAAGCAACAUCUCCUGAAAACUGAGAAAACAGAAUAGAAUGUGAGCUUCUGUCUGUUUUGGAAAAAAAAAAAACUAAAUAAAUGAGGAAAAAAAUCUAACCAUCGAUGUGGUGCUAUAUUUUGUCCAAUCAUGAUCACCACCCAAUAUGUCCAUAUCCUCGCUGUGAAGGACGUCAUCCGGAUGGUUGUCCUUAGGGGUUCCAUC